UUCCUCGCGCCGCAAACUCUGAACGGCGGCGGCCAGGGCCUGGACUUGCUGUACCAAGGCGUCGAACUGUUCCGGCUGGACCAGAGGAACUGGGUCAGCCGGAGUUGGAGAAUUCUGGACAGAGUGUCCAGGGCUUUGCGGGGGACGCCGGGAGAUGUUAGAGGCUCCCUUACUUCUCAACUUCAUGACUGCUACUCGGGCCCUUCCUCUAGCGCCAACUGUUGCUGGAAAUUGGACCCGGGGGCAAUCUUCGGUCGAGGAGAGGGAGCGGGGAGUGAGUUCUCACGGCGGGGCGGCGGUCCGUCGGCGAGCGGCG
This 316-nucleotide long non-coding RNA is filed under the name Phoenix dactylifera (date palm). RNAcentral describes it as "long non-coding RNA (PDAC_LNC016304)". Lineage: Eukaryota; Viridiplantae; Streptophyta; Magnoliopsida; Arecales; Arecaceae. The record is from RNAcentral.